This 494-nucleotide ribosomal RNA is filed under the name uncultured bacterium. RNAcentral describes it as "partial 16S ribosomal RNA". It matches the Rfam family "Bacterial small subunit ribosomal RNA", at positions 28 to 507 of the family's 1533-position model. The record is from RNAcentral.
GACGAACGCUGGCGGCGUGCUUAACACAUGCAAGUCGAACGGAAAGGCCUGCUUUCCCUUGUGGAUUGCGGGUACUCGAGUGGCGAACGGGUGAGUAACACGUGAGUGAUCUGCCCCCAACUUGGGUAUAAGCCUGGGAAACUGGGUCUAAUUCCCGAUAGGACUGCAGGGUGGUGCCUGUGGUGGAAAACGAUUUUCUAGUGGUUGGGGAUGAGCUCGCGGCCUAUCAGCUUGUUGGUGGGGUAAUGGCCUACCAAGGCGGCGACGGGUAGGCGGCCUGGGAGGGUGGACGGCCACAUGGGGACUGAGAUACGGGCCAGGCGACUACGGGAGGCAGCAGUGGGGAAUAUGGCGCAAUGAGCGGAGGCCUGAGGCAGCGACGCUGCGGGGGGGAUGACGGCUGUCGGGUGGUAAACUCCGGUCGGCCGCGAGGAAGCCACCUGGUUGGAGGGGUGGUGACGGUAGUGGGAGAAGAAGCACCGGCUAACUACGUG